This is a long non-coding RNA of Pectinophora gossypiella (pink bollworm), 1529 nucleotides long. RefSeq lists it as uncharacterized. The transcript is spliced from 3 exons. The record is from RefSeq and is a predicted model, not a curated record. NCBI's taxonomy places the organism in Eukaryota, Metazoa, Arthropoda, Insecta, Lepidoptera, Gelechiidae.
AAAAAACCUUGUUAUAUUUUUCUUGAUCUCGUUGCUGAAGUUCUCUUGAUAUUUUUCUGUGCUACUUAUUUCCUAUUUUGUUAGAAUUUGUAGUUUACAAGUUCAUUGAAUCGAGCCGCACUUCCCCGUUUUUUGCGUCAACAUUCUACUGUAAAAAUUUCCAGAAUCAUUAUGUGUUUUGGAAAGAGCUGAUAUGAUAAUAAGUUUGUCUAUAAUGUGCGUUGAUAAAUUGUAAUGUGUUAGAUGCUGAUCGACUUUGUCAUACUAACUCAUACUCGUACUAAGAGAUGCGAGCAACAAUAACAAGUCUCCUGAAGAAUGUUCCAGUCAAAGAGUUGGAAACAAUUGUGACUGUAUAAGUUGUGGAAUAUCUUUGAACAGGCACUCAAGAAGACAAAAUCACAGGCCAUAAGCUUAUGGAAAAAAGUGAUAAGUGGUAUUAUACAGAAAAACAAAUAUCUCCAAGACAGAUGCCUGAUGGAUGCUUGAAUUAAAGAUGGAUGGUUGUUUGUGAGGAGGAGCUCGGUGGCGCAGCGGUUAACGCGCUCGGUCUGCGAUUGUUGAAGUUAAGCAACUUUCGCAAAGGCCGGUCAUAGGAUGGGUGACCACAAAAAAAAAGUUUUCAUCUCGAACUCCUCCGUGCUUCGGAAGGCACGUUAAGCCGUUGGUCCCGGCUGCAUUAGCAGUCGUUAAUAACCACCAAUCCGCACUGGGCCCGCGUGGUGGUUUAAGGCCCGAUCUCCCUAUCCAUCCAUAGGGAAGGCCCGUGCCCCAGCAGUGGGGACGUUAAUGGGCUGGUGAUGAUGAUGAUGGUUGUUUGCAGGAUGAGCUCACAUCGAAAGCAUUAAUAUUUAGUGAACAGUAAAGCUGUGUUAAGUGUGCCAUUGCAUUGUAUGUAGUUAGUAGCUAUUUAUGUUCAUAGAUGUUGUUAAACUACCUAUGAGCUUAAAUCACUUUAUAUUAUCAUAUCAUAACAUAACAUAACAAAUACUUUUUUGCACAAACAGGAAAAAACAAAAGAGAAAUAGAAUUAGUACAAUAGGCGGCCUUAUCAUUAAAUAGAUAAAAAAAAAUACUAUGUAUUUUUAAUGUUAUUUUUAAGUUUUUAUAUACCUACUUACUAAUAAUGUAACCAUACAUCUCAUCAUCUCCUAUUACAUAGCUUGUGAGGUGGAUGGCGAACCUCACCAACCCUGUUAUAGGAUUAUUACUGAGCCACCCUGUUGUUACAUAAACCAAGUCCCCUGACAUGGUUUAUGUAACAACUAUGUAUUUAUAUUAGUAAGUAGUAACUGGGACCAACAGCUUCACAUGCCAUCCAAAGGAUCGCAAAGUAAUUUUUGUGAUAUGUCAACACCGGGUUCGAACUUUGGAUUGUGAGCCUGUCAGUCAACCACUCUGAAUCGCAGAGAAGGGGAGGAAAGUAGUUGGUUAAGUUGAUGUUUUAUUAAACUAUUUGAUUAAUUGUAGAAAUAUUUUGUAUGAGUUGCACCUAUGACAUAUUUUAAAUAUAAUAAUAAAACAAAUUA